This 1186-nucleotide long non-coding RNA is filed under the name Amborella trichopoda. RNAcentral's name for it is "long non-coding RNA (ATRI_LNC002290)". Lineage: Eukaryota; Viridiplantae; Streptophyta; Magnoliopsida; Amborellales; Amborellaceae. The record is from RNAcentral.
UAAUUCUAAAAACAUUUUAUAACAAAAUUACGUGUUAUGAUAAAAUUUGGAAGUGUGCCUUAAUUGGAUUGUUUAAGGUUACAACCUUAUAGAAACCGCACCCGUAUGUAUAUCGAGAUAACUAAAGGUCCCAUGAGUAAUUUGCCCACAUAUUUAAAGAGCAUAUUUGUCUUUGGAUCAAAUAUGAGCCUUUCCCUUGUAAUGCAUCUUGGGUCAAACUUGAGAUAUUCUACAUCUCAAAAUGAGCUCAUUGCCUCGGUUGUCCUAUCCAAAAGUUUUACAAUACAAUAUAUAAAGGGUGCGGUUAGCAUAGAAAAGUCAUAAACAGUAUAAUAUAAAUAUAAAUAUAAUAUUAUUUGUCUGUGGCUACGUCAGUCUGAAAAAUAAACAUUAAAUAUAUUUAUUCUGUCAUCUUAUAUUUUCAUAGUAUGAAUCCAAGUAAGUCUGUUUACAUACUCACCCUUGCUACUUAGAAUCAUACAUUUAUUCACAUCAAUAAUUCUUCUCACUAGCUCAACCAACAUUCACCUCCUAGUCCUUGCAUGACACCUCAUUUUAUAGAAUUACAAAAAUCCAAAUGAUAUUAUGCUCCCCUGGGAUUGUACUUCCCAUUUACUCCCUCAAGUAAAACCCUGCUUAGGUUUAAUUUUAGGACCUUAAAUUGUGGGACUCAUAGAUUAACCUCAAUAAGAUGAAUUUCUUAAUAAAUUGUUUUUCUUUAGAGAAUAGUCAUCUAAUGAUUCUUAAGUGGUUCCCACAUUUUCAAAUUGAAAACAUCCUCCCAAGACCCAAAUAGGUCUUCUGAGGGAGUGAAGGAGUAAAUGUAAACCAUGCUCCCGAGGAAUGGUAGUAUAAAUGCCCUUACGAAAAUAGCCAUUGAACGGUUGAUUUUAUUUUUGACUCUUAAGGGUUGAGGUCCAUGAGUGGUAAACAUUAAUGCGAACUCCAAAAUAGCGUCCACUAAAGCCCUCAAUAAUGGAAGAAGCAUUUUAAACGAUGAGUAUUAUUGUAAAGGGCAAUAGUGAAAGAUGCAUUCAUUCAAUGCAUCUUGAUCUACAUCUAGGCCGCGGAAUAUUUUAGAGCGCGUCACAUUCAUUGGUUUCCUUUCAAGGGAAAGGUAGUCUAUAAAAGUCGCAUAAAAGAAAAUGGUUGAAAGUAAUUUGCUCGUAAGGGUGGCAACAAGCCG